Molecule: long non-coding RNA, 1309 nt
Organism: Carassius gibelio (silver crucian carp)
Lineage: Eukaryota; Metazoa; Chordata; Actinopteri; Cypriniformes; Cyprinidae
Exons: 4
Source: RefSeq, a predicted model, not a curated record
CCCAUUCUCACUCCAAAGGCGUCAAAAACCGAAGCAUGGUCAAGCGCCCCUAGCGUCACUUUUAUGACGCCAAAUGUGCCUCUCGGCGUCGACUAUCGAAGCACUACGACCUUCAUUGCUUUCAGUGGGAAACUUUUGGCGUCAGAAUUCGACACGAGGACAUGAGAUGUUUAUCGCUAUGAAAUCACGUUCAAGAAGUCUCAUUCAGCAUACAUCGCGCGAUACUUGCUAUCAGUUCCACAGUUUGGCUGAAAAGACGUAAAGGCAGUCAGCCCAGUGGUGUUUCUGGAGAGGGAUUCCUUCAUAAAUGGAGAAGACAGAAAGCUGCGGAGGCAGAUAUUUGCAGCAUGUUCGAGUGAGCAUGAUGACCACGAGUGUGUGUCGAACUUUUCAUGACCUGAUGACUGUGUUUCCCAAUCCUGAUCCUGGAGAACCCCAGCACUGCACGGUUUUGGUGUCUCUCUUAUCUGCCUUGGAGUCUUCACUGAUGAGCUGAUGAGUUGAAUCAGGAUUGUUUGAGGAUAACACUGCAGUUCUCCAUCAUGCACAAGGACUCACCUCGUUAACUCUUUAUCCCCCACACACACAGAUAUGGUCCCUGGAUCAGUGAUUAGACUUUGCAGUGGUUUGAUUUUUGCAGAAGAUGUAACUUUGUUUUAUUUAUAAGCUCAUAAUGAAUACAUUACAGAACCAGUGAUGAAAACAAUAGUUAAAAAUAGUAUUUUUCGUAUUGAUAAAGCAUUUUGUUCUCUUUUUCAAGCUUCAUACAGUGAACUUUUUAGACUUUAAUUAAGAGUUUUAGUAAAGGAGAUAUUCAUACACAGUCAUCCCCUAGCUCCAGUCAUGAAGUGAAUUCAUGAUGUUAUUGUCAAAGCUAGCAGGUGUUUGUUUUCCUGAACACUUUCUCUGUCUUCUAUUGUUCAGACAAUCAGUGUUUAUUUGAUGCUGUGCUGAUUGAGUUUUAUAGAUGAUAUUGCACACUUGACAUGCAUGUCUUCAUGGUGUUUUUUUGUGAGUUUGAAACAUUUACAUUGUGUUGUAUAACAUUUUGGUCAAUUUAAUUUUUUUAAUAAAAUUGAUCUUUUUCCAGUGUUCUCUGAAAGACAUACUGUAUUUACUGUUUUGUUUUUUAAUAAAAGCAUUUUCAUUUGCAUACUGAAAAUAGUUAAUGUUUACAACAUAACUGCCUUUUUAUUCUUUAUGGUGGCAAAAACGAGCUUGGUGACAGAGGAUGCAGUGUAGUAAUUUGGGCAUGUUGUCUUUAAAUGAGUUUGACAUAUCAAUAAAUAAUGGAAGAUCCUUACAAAAA